GGUCCGUGGUGUAGGGGUUAACAUGCCUGCCUGUCACGCAGGAGAUCGCGGGUUCAAAUCCCGUCGGGACCG
Molecule: transfer RNA, 72 nt
Filed under: Listeria monocytogenes
Lineage: Bacteria; Bacillati; Bacillota; Bacilli; Caryophanales; Listeriaceae
Description: tRNA-Asp
Rfam family: tRNA
About the family: Transfer RNA (tRNA) molecules are approximately 80 nucleotides in length.
Source: RNAcentral